GAUGAACGCUGGCGGCGUGCCUAAUACAUGCAAGUCGAGCGAAUGGAUUAAGAGCUUGCUCUUAUGAAGUUAGCGGCGGACGGGUGAGUAACACGUGGGUAACCUGCCCAUAAGACUGGGAUAACUCCGGGAAACCGGGGCUAAUACCGGAUAACAUUUUGAACCGCAUGGUUCGAAAUUGAAAGGCGGCUUCGGCUGUCACUUAUGGAUGGACCCGCGUCGCAUUAGCUAGUUGGAGAGGUAACGGCUCACCAAGGCAACGAUGCGUAGCCGACCUGAGAGGGUGAUCGGCCAACCUGGGACUGAGACACGGCCCAGACUCCUACGGGAGGCAGCAGUAGGGAAUCUUCCGCAAUGGACGAGAGUCUGACGGAGCAACGCCGCGUGAGUGAUGAAGGCUUUCGGGUCGUAAAACUCUGUUGUUAGGGAAGAACAAGUGCUAGUUGAAUAAGCUGACACCUUGACGGUACCUAACCAGAAAGCCACGGCUAACUACGUGCCAGCCGCCGCCGUAA
Molecule: ribosomal RNA, 515 nt
Filed under: uncultured bacterium
Lineage: Bacteria
Description: partial 16S ribosomal RNA
Rfam family: Bacterial small subunit ribosomal RNA
Source: RNAcentral